CUGAACUUGACAAAAUGCUUGCGGAUGG
This 28-nucleotide non-coding RNA is filed under the name Bombyx mori (domestic silkworm). Lineage: Eukaryota; Metazoa; Arthropoda; Insecta; Lepidoptera; Bombycidae. The record is from RNAcentral.